GAGGCUUUGGCUUAAUUCAAAGUAUCUGAGUUGCAGUCAGAAGAUGUAUUAUUAUACAGGCCUUC
RNAcentral lists this transfer RNA (65 nucleotides) under Cyrtodactylus quadrivirgatus. RNAcentral's name for it is "tRNA-Ala". The record is from RNAcentral. Lineage: Eukaryota; Metazoa; Chordata; Lepidosauria; Squamata; Gekkonidae.